AGAGUUUGAUCCUGGCUCAGGAUGAACGCUAGCGGCAGGCUUAAUACAUGCAAGUCGAGGGGCAGCAUGAGUGUAGCAAUACAUUUGAUGGCGACCGGCAAACGGGUGCGGAACACGUACACAACCUUCCUAUAAGUGGGGAAUAGCCCAGAGAAAUUUGGAUUAAUACCCCGUAACAUAAUGAUGUGGCAUCACAUUAUUAUUAUAGCUACGGCGCUUAUUGAUGGGUGUGCGGCUGAUUAGAUAGUUGGCGGGGUAACGGCCCACCAAGUCUACGAUCAGUAGCUGAUGUGAGAGCAUGAUCAGCCACACGGGCACUGAGACACGGGCCCGACUCCUACGGGAGGCAGCAGUAAGGAAUAUUGGUCAAUGGACGCAAGUCUGAACCAGCCAUGCCACGUGAAGGAUUAAGGUCCUCUGGAUUGUAAACUUCUUUUAUCUGGGACGAAAAAAGGCGAUUCUUCGUCACUUGACGGUACCAGAUGAAUAAGCACCGGCUAACUCCGUGCCAGCAGCCGCGGUAAUACGGAGGGUGCAAGCGUUAUCCGGAUUCACUGGGUUUAAAGGGUGCGUAGGCGGGUAGGUAAGUCAGUGGUGAAAUCCUGGAGCUUAACUCCAGAACUGCCAUUGAUACUAUCUAUCUUGAAUAUUGUGGAGGUAAGCGGAAUAUGUCAUGUAGCGGUGAAAUGCUUAGAUAUGACAUAGAACACCUAUUGCGAAGGCAGCUUACUACGCAUAUAUUGACGCUGAGGCACGAAAGCGUGGGGAUCAAACAGGAUUAGAUACCCUGGUAGUCCAA
RNAcentral lists this ribosomal RNA (799 nucleotides) under uncultured bacterium. Its description in RNAcentral is "bacterial SSU rRNA". It matches the Rfam family "Bacterial small subunit ribosomal RNA", at positions 8 to 798 of the family's 1533-position model. The record is from RNAcentral.